Molecule: ribosomal RNA, 750 nt
Filed under: uncultured Thermotoga sp.
Lineage: Bacteria; Thermotogati; Thermotogota; Thermotogae; Thermotogales; Thermotogaceae
Description: bacterial SSU rRNA
Rfam family: Bacterial small subunit ribosomal RNA
Source: RNAcentral
GGUGAACGCUGGCGGCGUGCCUAACACAUGCAAGUCGAGCGGGUACCCGCAAGGGUACCAGCGGCGCACGGGUGAGUAACACGUGGGUAAUCUACCCCUCGGAGGGGGAUAACCGGGGGAAACUCCGGCUAAUACCCCAUACGAUCCAACAACACAAGUUGUUGGAUGAAAGGAGCGUUUGCUCCGCCGAGGGAUGAGCCCGCGGCCCAUCAGGUAGUUGGUGGGGUAAUGGCCCACCAAGCCUACGACGGGUAGCCGGCCUGAGAGGGUGGUCGGCCACAAGGGCACUGAGACACGGGCCCUACUCCUACGGGAGGCAGCAGUGGGGAAUCUUGGACAAUGGGCGAAAGCCUGAUCCAGCGACGCCGCGUGGGGGAUGAAGCCCUUCGGGGUGUAAACCCCUGUUGCGAGGGAGGAAUAAGGCCUGGAGGAAAUGCCAGGCCGAUGACUGUACCUCGCGAGGAAGCCCCGGCUAACUACGUGCCAGCAGCCGCGGUAAUGCGUAGGGGGCGAGCGUUACCCGGAUUCACUGGGCGUAAAGCGGGUGUAGGCGGCUCGGUAAGUCGGGUGUGAAAUCCCACAGCUCAACUGUGGAAUUGCGCCCGAAACUGCUGAGCUUGGGGCCGGUAGAGGGAGACGGAACUGCCGGUGUAGGGGUGAAAUCCGUAGAUAUCGGCAGGAACGCCGGUGGGGAAGCCGGUCUCCUGGGCCGCGCCCGACGCUGAGACCCGAAAGCUAGGGGAGCAAACC